AGAGCGAACGCUGGCGGCAGGCCUAACACAUGCAAGUCGAACGGACCCUUCGGGGUUAGUGGCGGACGGGUGAGUAACACGUGGGAACGUGCCUUUAGGUUCGGAAUAGCUCCUGGAAACGGGUGGUAAUGCCGAAUGUGCCCUUCGGGGGAAAGAUUUAUCGCCUUUAGAGCGGCCCGCGUCUGAUUAGCUUGUUGGUGAGGUAAUGGCUCACCAAGGCUACGAUCAGUAGCUGGUCUGAGAGGAUGACCAGCCACAUUGGGACUGAGACACGGCCCAAACUCCUACGGGAGGCAGCAGUGGGGAAUCUUGCGCAAUGGGCGAAAGCCUGACGCAGCCAUGCCGCGUGUAUGAUGAAGGUCUUAGGAUUGUAAAAUCUUUCACCGGUGAAGAUAAUGACUGUAGCCGGAGAAGAAGCCCCGGAUAACGUUCGUGCCAGCCAGCCGC
RNAcentral lists this ribosomal RNA (447 nucleotides) under uncultured soil bacterium. RNAcentral's name for it is "bacterial SSU rRNA". It matches the Rfam family "Bacterial small subunit ribosomal RNA", at positions 26 to 518 of the family's 1533-position model. The record is from RNAcentral.